This 1134-nucleotide ribosomal RNA is filed under the name Triticum aestivum (bread wheat). RNAcentral describes it as "partial small subunit ribosomal RNA". Lineage: Eukaryota; Viridiplantae; Streptophyta; Magnoliopsida; Poales; Poaceae. The record is from RNAcentral.
AUGUUCAAUACCAUUAUUGAGAGCUUGGAUCUGAGGGAGAUAGAGCUUUCUGGUAGAAAGUUUACCUGGGCUAAUGCUUUGCCAAACCCGACAUAUGAAAAGCUUGAUCGAGUUCUCGCGAGCGUGGAGUGGGAACAGAAGUUCCCUCUUGUUACGGUACAAGCUCUCUCGCGGGGAAUAUCCGAUCACACACCACUGUUCGUGGACUUCGGGGAGCCGAACCAUGUGGAAAACAAAAACACCUUCUCAUUCGAGAUGGCCUGGUUCGAACGUGAGGGGUUCUUAGACCUCAUUGCCAGGGAAUGGGCUAAGGGUGUAGGAGGUAGGACGGCUGUCGAGCGUUGGCAGAAUAAGAUUAGGCAUUUGAGAAGUUUCUUACGGGGUUGGGCUAAGCACCUCAGUGGGGUGUAUAAGAUUAAGAAGGAUAGGCUCCUUUCUCUUAUACAGGCCCUGGACAUAAAAGCUGAAUCCGCGAUUCUGCUGCCUGCUGAGCUCCAGGUUAAAACUGAGGCGGAGAAGAGGUUGAAAGAACUUCUCCGCGAAGAAGAGUUGAAGUGGGCGUUGCGAGCUAAGGUUUGCAAAGUGGUUCAAGGGGACGCCAAUACUCAAUUCUUUCACCUGAUUGCCAAUGAUAAGCACAGAAAGAAGCGUAUCUUCCAACUUGAACAAGAUGAGGGUACUAUUGUUGGGCAGGAUAAUCUCAAAACAUAUAUUACCGAGUAUUAUAGGCAGUUAUUUGGACCUCCGGAGGUUAAUUGUGUGACCUUCGAUGAGUCUAGGACUAAGGAUGUACCUCAAUUGUCUGCUGCCGAUAAUGAUAUCUUCCUCGCCCCGUUUUCGGAGAAGGAGGUGUUUGAUGCUAUUGCACAAAUGAAAAACAAUAAGGCUCCCGGACCGGAUGGGUUCCCGGCCGAGUUAUAUAAAAAGUGCUGGCACAUUAUUAAGGGGGAUUUGUUACCUAUGUUUCAGGAUCUUUUCUCUGGACAACUUCAAUUAUUUCACUUGAAUUUUGGAACUAUCACAUUGCUCCCUAAGAAAACGGAGGCUGUGAGAAUUGAGCAGUUCAGGCCGAUUUGCCUCCUCAAUGUUAGUUUCAAAAUCUUCACCAAGGUCGGGACUAAUAGGCUCUCAUAG